AGCGAGGUGGGGAAGCCAGGAUCAUCCCGGCGGGCUCAUAACCCGCAGAGCGGAGAUCGGGCGAGAGCUCGACCGUGCGUUCAAAUCCUCCCCUCGCUA
This 99-nucleotide transfer RNA is filed under the name Nitrososphaerota archaeon. RNAcentral describes it as "tRNA-Met". It matches the Rfam family "tRNA". Rfam says of the family: Transfer RNA (tRNA) molecules are approximately 80 nucleotides in length. Their secondary structure includes four short double-helical elements and three loops (D, anti-codon, and T loops). Lineage: Archaea; Thermoproteati; Nitrososphaerota. The record is from RNAcentral.